GUUGAACGGUAUGACAUGGAAGCUUGCUGAAGUGUCAUAUAGUAGCGGACGGGUGAGUAAUGCAUGAGAAGCUGCCAUUGGGAGGGGGACAACAGUUGGAAACGGCUGCUAAUACCCCGUAUGCCGGAAGGUGAAAGGGAGCGAUCCGCCCGAUGAGGUGCUCAUGUCCUAUCGAGCUGGUUGGUGGGGUAACGGCCUACCAAGGCGACGACGGGUAGCCGGCCUGAGAGGGUGAACGGCCACACUGGAACUGAGAUACGGUCCAGACUCCUACGGGAGGCAGCAGUGGGGAAUAUUGGGCCAAUGGGGGCAACCCUGACCCAGCGACGCCGCGUGGGGGAAGACGGCCUUCGGGUUGUAAACCUCUUUUGUACGGGAAGAAGGAAGUGACGGUACUGUACGAAUAAGUCCCGGCUAACUACGUGCCAGCCGCCGC
This 436-nucleotide ribosomal RNA is filed under the name uncultured bacterium. RNAcentral describes it as "bacterial SSU rRNA". It matches the Rfam family "Bacterial small subunit ribosomal RNA", at positions 61 to 518 of the family's 1533-position model. The record is from RNAcentral.